GAUGAACGCUGGCGGCGUGCCUAAUACAUGCAAGUCGAGCGAACGGACCAGAAGCUUGCUUCUCUGCUGUUAGCAGCGGACGGGUGAGUAACACGUGGAUAACCUACCUAUAAGAGUGGGAUAUCUUCAGGAAACUGGAGCUACUAACGGAUGAUAUUUUGAACAGCAUGGUUCAAAAGUAAAAGACGGUAUUGCUGUCACUUAUAGAUAUAUCCGCGCUGCAUUAGUAAGUUGGUAAGGUAACGGCUUACCAAGGCAACGAUGCAUAGCCGACCUGAGAGGGGGAUCGGCAACACUGGAACUGAGCCACGGUCCAGACUCCUACGGGAGGCAGCAGUAUGGAAUCUACGGCAAUGGGCGAAAGCCUGACGGAGCAACGCCAAGUGAGUGAUGAAAGACCUCGGAGCGUAAAACUGGGUUAUGAGGGAAGAACAUAUGUGGAAGGAACUGAGCACAUCGUGACGGUACCUAAUCAGAAAGCCACGGCUAACUACGUG
RNAcentral lists this ribosomal RNA (497 nucleotides) under uncultured bacterium. Its description in RNAcentral is "partial 16S ribosomal RNA". It matches the Rfam family "Bacterial small subunit ribosomal RNA", at positions 28 to 507 of the family's 1533-position model. The record is from RNAcentral.